Molecule: ribosomal RNA, 465 nt
Filed under: Vreelandella stevensii
Lineage: Bacteria; Pseudomonadati; Pseudomonadota; Gammaproteobacteria; Oceanospirillales; Halomonadaceae
Description: partial 16S ribosomal RNA
Rfam family: Bacterial small subunit ribosomal RNA
Source: RNAcentral
CCUACGGGCGGCUGCAGUGGGGAAUAUUGGACAAUGGGGGCAACCCUGAUCCAGCCAUGCCGCGUGUGUGAAGAAGGCCCUCGGGUUGUAAAGCACUUUCAGUGAGGAAGAACGCCUGGUGGUUAAUACCCAUCAGGAAAGACAUCACUCACAGAAGAAGCACCGGCUAACUCCGUGCCAGCAGCCGCGGUAAUACGGAGGGUGCGAGCGUUAAUCGGAAUUACUGGGCGUAAAGCGCGCGUAGGUGGCUUGAUAAGCCGGUUGUGAAAGCCCCGGGCUCAACCUGGGAACGGCAUCCGGAACUGUCAAGCUAGAGUGCAGGAGAGGAAGGUAGAAUUCCCGGUGUAGCGGUGAAAUGCGUAGAGAUCGGGAGGAAUACCAGUGGCGAAGGCGGCCUUCUGGACUGAAACUGACACUGAGGUGCGAAAGCGUGGGUAGCAAACAGGAUUAGAUACCCCGGUAGUC